This 606-nucleotide long non-coding RNA is filed under the name Rattus norvegicus (Norway rat). RNAcentral describes it as "long non-coding RNA NONRATT008766". Lineage: Eukaryota; Metazoa; Chordata; Mammalia; Rodentia; Muridae. The record is from RNAcentral.
CUGAAGCAAAUCAGUACCCCUGUUGAUGGCAAGAACCAUGAUGUGGUGUUGAACAUCAUAAAUAGCUCUAUUACUACAAAGUCAUCAGUCACUGGUCCUCUUUGGCAUGCAACAUUGCACCGGAUGCUGUUAAAACUGUUCAGUUUGAAGAGAAUGGCAGAAAGGAAUUGACAUCCAGAAGUAUGCAAGGGUGGAAAAGAUACCUGGGGGCAUCAUUGAAGACUCGUGUGUCUUACGUGGAGUUAUGAUUAACAAGAUGCGACCCAUCCAAGAAUGUGCCACUAUAUUAAGAAUCCUCAAAUUGUGCCAUUGGAUUCUUCUCUGGAGCACAAGAAAGGAGAAAGCCAAACUGACGUUGAGAUUGCACAAGAGGAGGAUUUCUCCUGAAUCCUGCAAAUGAAAGAAGACUACAUCUGCAGCUGUGUAAGGAUAUUAUCCAGCUGAAAGAUGAUGUGGUCAUCACAGAAAAUGGCAUCUCAGAUUUAGUUCAGCACUACCUCAUGUGGGCCAAUGUCACAGCCAUCCGUAGAGUCCGGAAAACAGACAAUAAUCACAUUGCUAGAGCCUGUGGGGCACGGACAGUCAGCCGACCCGAGAGAAGAUGAU